UACGUAGGGUGCGAGCGUUAAUCGGAAUUACUGGGCGUAAAGCGUGCGCAGGCGGUUCGUUGUGUCGGCGGUGAAAGCCCCGGGCUUAACCUGGGAAUGGCCGUUGAAACUGGCGAACUGGAGUGUGGCAGAGGGGGGUGGAAUUCCGCGUGUAGCAGUGAAAUGCGUAGAGAUGCGGAGGAACACCGGUGGCGAAGGCGGGUCUCUGGGCCGAAACUGACGCUGAGGAGCGAAAGCGUGGGGAGCGAACAGG
This 253-nucleotide ribosomal RNA is filed under the name uncultured bacterium. RNAcentral describes it as "partial 16S ribosomal RNA". It matches the Rfam family "Bacterial small subunit ribosomal RNA", at positions 524 to 776 of the family's 1533-position model. The record is from RNAcentral.